CCAGACUGUGCACUGUGCUGCGGCCCCAGGCUGCUUCUGUCAGCCAGAGAAAUGUUCCAGGGGCUGUGGCUGCCUAAGCUGCCAAGGGCUAUGCAACUGCCUAGGGACACAAGG
Otolemur garnettii (small-eared galago) is the source of this 114-nucleotide small nucleolar RNA. Lineage: Eukaryota; Metazoa; Chordata; Mammalia; Primates; Galagidae. The record is from Ensembl.